UCCUACGGGAGGCAGCAGUGGGGAAUAUUGCACAAUGGGCGCAAGCCUGAUGCAGCAACGCCGCGUGAGGGACGACGGCCUUCGGGUUGUAAACCUCUUUUAGCAGGGAAGAAGCGAAAGUGACGGUACCUGCAGAAAAAGCGCCGGCUAACUACGUGCCAGCAGCCGCGGUAAUA
RNAcentral lists this ribosomal RNA (176 nucleotides) under uncultured bacterium. RNAcentral describes it as "partial 16S ribosomal RNA". It matches the Rfam family "Bacterial small subunit ribosomal RNA", at positions 337 to 525 of the family's 1533-position model. The record is from RNAcentral.